AACGAACGCUGGCGGCGUGGAUAAGACAUGCAAGUCGAACGGGAUUAUUUUUGUAGCAAUACAGAAAUAAUUCAGUGGCGAACGGGUGCGUAACACGUGGGCAAUCUGCCGAAAAGUGGGGGAUAGCUCGCCGAAAGGCGAAUUAAUACCGCAUGUGGUGAGGGACGACAUCUUCCUGAAUCCAAAGCCGGGGCAACCUGGCGCUUUUUGAGGAGCCCGCGGCCUAUCAGCUAG
Molecule: ribosomal RNA, 234 nt
Filed under: uncultured bacterium
Lineage: Bacteria
Description: partial 16S ribosomal RNA
Rfam family: Bacterial small subunit ribosomal RNA
Source: RNAcentral